UUCUCAAAGCGGUUUUGACUGAGACAGAGAAACCGACAAAGCCUGGGAAUCCCUCCCAGACGUCUCAGUCUCUGCAACUAUAACAAGAGUAGAAAAACGCGAAACGAAAAAGACAGCAAAAUGGAGAGAGCUAAGUAAUAAAGGAGUCAUCUUCUCCUGGUUCGUCUGCCAUCACUUGAGAUAAUCCAGAUUACGAAGCUUCCUACGUUUAUUCAGAAACUCCAGGGGCCACUGCCCUUCGUCCAUCUCUCUCUCUCCCCUUCUUUCCUCUUUCAUCAAGUUUUUCAGUCUCUGUUUCGGUGGUCCUCUGUGAAGUUCUUUAAUGGCGACUGCGAACAAAGGUUUCGAUGAAGACCCAAUUCCUGGGACGAGUUUCACUCGGUUGUUAGAUUCCGGAGAUCAUGCGAGUCUUGAUAUGGUGGAAACUGGAAGCUUUAUCUUUCCAGCUGAGAAAGCUCCUAAGAUGCUCUGUUUUGGCAAUCCAUGCAACCAAGUAGCGAAGGGGGUCGGUGAGUACGGGAUGAUCGCCCAGAGAUCGGGAAUCACUGCUAGUGAUUCUUCUUCGGUUUCAUCUAGUAACCACAGUAGUAGCACAGGUAGCUUCUCCAACCCAAAGUCGAAGUCCCAAAGCGGAGAAGCAAAGACAGAGCAGAAGAAGCGAAAUGAGUCAAGCGUGGGAUCAGUUCCUAGUUCGAGUUUGGGCUCAGGAGCUUCAGGUGAUUACAGGAAAACGAGUAAGAAGGUUAAAACAGAGAACCUUGCCUCAAAGGGGCCUGCAAAGGCGAGGAAAGAGAAGCUGGGAGAACGGAUUACAGCAUUGCAGCAACUUGUUUCUCCUUUUGGGAAGACAGAUACCGCUUCCGUUCUUCAUGAAGCGAUGGGGUAUAUCAGAUUCCUGCAUGACCAAGUUCAGGUUCUGAGUUCUCCAUAUAUGCAGCGAUUAUCAUCUUCUGGGCAUGGGAGGAAUCUGCAUCAGGAAAGAGGAGAGGAAGAAGAAUCAAAAUAUGAACUGAGGAGCAGAGGACUCUGCUUGGUACCAGUUGCAUGCACAGUUCACAUGGCCAACAGUAACGGAGCAGAUUACUGGUCGCUUGCCAUGGCUUCCAACUCCAACCCCAAACAAUGAAUCCUCUCCAGUGCUUAUAGAAAUACAGUCUCAAAGAUAGAGUGUGUUCAGGCAUAAAACGUUAUGAAGUUAUUUUGGUGAUUGUCAAGGGAAAAAAACUACCAAAUCUGAGGAACAGAGGGAUUACAAACCCUAUAUAGCUUUGAAGUCUAACCUAUUUUGCAUACUUGGGAAGUUCACUUUUGAUGGGAACUGCACAACCUUAGGAACCCUAGGUGUUGCUUGUGGACCUGCUUGGAUGGCUCAUUGAUCCCUCCAGAUGCUUUGGAUGGGUACCAUUACCAAAGCCCAAUAAAUGGUGUGAAUUUCUAGUCAAUCAUCCCUCUGCAGAAGCCCAAAUGCCCAACUCCUCAACCAAAAGAAGGCUCACAAAUCCCAUCUUCGGGGAUAUUUGAAGGCUCGAAAGUACUGGAACAGGCCCAAAUAUCCUGGAUUUUCUUCUUCUCUUGGCUCCAUGUUAGGGAGGCUGGUCUUGGGUUUCGGGGGCAAGACACCCACUCUCUCAACCUCUGUGGUUCGGCUCUGUCCGUGCUUCGUAAACAAAACUGCCACAGUCUGUAACACAACACCUUGCGUCUUAGGUGUUCGAUAAUUGGUUCCACAGAAGAGGUUCAUUCUGAUCAUCUCACACUCUCCGAAUCCAGCGACAGGUUGCCUUUGAUAGAUGGCUUCAGGAGGGGAUAUUCCACCUCCCACGCCUGCAUUUAUGGCUCUAGCUAUAGAGCAGGCAAAACUUGCCUUGAACGGCCUUGAAGUAGCAGUGGGUUGUGUUAUUGUUGAGGACACGAAAUGCCACCAGAGAUGAAGAGAUGGAAGCCAUCAGGGUUAUCAAUACUUGGAAUCAAGGCAGUCUAUUAGGGCUGAAUGGCUGAUCUAAAGAUAUAUUGGGUGGUUUGUGGAUCAAUCUUGUCAUUGCAUUCAAAUAGCUCAGACGAGUUUUUCAGUAGUGGAUCUCCAAGGUUUAGUUCAGAUGUACUGGGGGUGUUAUGGCAUCAGAAGCCCUCUCUCUUUAGGAAGCUUCUAUCAGCAUGGGAAUCCCAAUGUUCCAAAACCUGAGGUAAUUUAUAGAGCAUGCAUGUGAAGUGUGAAAGAUGCCAUGUUAAUCUCACUGAAUCCACUUUGUCAUCACAAACUAAGUAGUGAUUGAUAUGUUUUUAAUCCCAUAUCAAUGAAAUUGUAUAGAAGGGCAUACCUAGUGCACAAUGCUAUCAUUACUGUGGGUAUAGGGAGGGUCAUAAUGUGCACAUUCUUAACGUGAAAUGCUACCAGA
Molecule: RNA transcript, 2396 nt
Organism: Macadamia integrifolia
Lineage: Eukaryota; Viridiplantae; Streptophyta; Magnoliopsida; Proteales; Proteaceae
Gene name: transcription factor bHLH113-like
Exons: 7
Source: RefSeq, a predicted model, not a curated record